Molecule: non-coding RNA, 835 nt
Organism: Mauremys mutica (yellowpond turtle)
Lineage: Eukaryota; Metazoa; Chordata; Testudines; Geoemydidae
Source: the annotation of a RefSeq genome assembly
CCAAAAAUAAAGCACCUGACAGAUGGAAAUCACGUGGGAUUCUAUACAAAAAACUACACAAGUUUCACUGUACUUGCGUUCACUUCUGCUUUAGUAGAUGUGGCUGCAUUAUCUGGAGGACACAAUCCUGGAUUUGCAAACAUUUUUACCCCUCCAGAUUGUUUAUGAAAACAGAUGAGACUUCAGCACCCUCCGCGCUCCCGGGAUUUUAGCUUCUGACCACCUGACCACAUACAUAGUUUGAUGCUUCUGAAAACUUACCCCACACAUCUGCAGGCAGGAGACCUCUCAUUGGAUCCUGCUAAAACAACCCAUUUCCUCUCCCCAGCUGCACCUCUCUCCUCGUCUCUCCAUCUGAGGGGUUAUUUCAGAGUCCUCUGUUUCAAGUUCAACCCAACCAGUGAGAAUGUUACUGCUGCAGGUUCUUAUUGUGACUUCAACAUGGUCUUAUGGAUCUUCACAAAUAAAGCUGACACAAACUCCACUGUCUGUCACCAGAGCGGUAACUAAAAGUGCAUAUAUGUGGUGUAAAAUUUCUGGCGGAAGUUUUAAUUUUAACGAUGAUUAUAUACACUGGUAUCGACAGAGCCCCGGGGCAGCUCCAAAGAGGAUUCUGUAUAUUAGAGGAGAAUUAGUUUCUACAGAUGAAGGCUUUGACAGCAAAAAGUUUAAAGCUGAUAAUUAUGUUUCUGCAUCCACCUCAAAGCUCACAGUACACAACGUAGCCAGUGAGGAUGCUGCAACCUAUUAUUGUGCCACCUGGGAUCGCACAGUACUAGAAAGCCAUAGACAACCUGUACAAAAACCCACUCUGCAUUCUGAGCCAAGUAUAUGA